Molecule: ribosomal RNA, 201 nt
Filed under: uncultured bacterium
Lineage: Bacteria
Description: partial 16S ribosomal RNA
Rfam family: Bacterial small subunit ribosomal RNA
Source: RNAcentral
CAGGCUGCAACUCGCCUGCAUGAAGUUGGAAUUGCUAGUAAUCGCGAAUCAGAAAUGUCGCGGUGAAUACGUUCCCGGGCCUUGUACACACCGCCCGUCACACCAUGAGAGCCGAUAACACCCGAAGCCUGUGAGCUAACCGUAAGGGGGCAGCAGUCGAAGGUGGGGUUGGUGAUUGGGGUGAAGUCGUAACAAGGUAAC